Rhinichthys klamathensis goyatoka is the source of this 180-nucleotide long non-coding RNA. RefSeq lists it as uncharacterized. NCBI's taxonomy places the organism in Eukaryota, Metazoa, Chordata, Actinopteri, Cypriniformes, Leuciscidae. The transcript has 2 exons. The record is from RefSeq and is a predicted model, not a curated record.
UAAUGUGCUGAUGAUUGACCAACACUUCUGACUUGUGUUGUUCCACUAUUCACCACUCGAUGGUGCACGUCUUCUCAGUGUACCUGUGGAUUUGUCAGUAAAUAUAGUAGGGUCCAAAAGGCUGAGGGCAUAUUGAAGAUCUGGGAUUUUUUUUCAGCCUGAAAAAGCUAAAUGUUUUAG